AGAUACAGCGCUUUCUGAACUGUAGCCAUUUUCAUUUUGAACCAAAAAUGCAGAUGUAAAAUAAAACUAAUAGGUAAUUAAGAAAAAAGGAGGCAGUUUUCAUCUGUCAUGUGAAAAGUCAUUCAUUCCACAAAUACUUGCUGAGGGUUUGCUGUGAUAAAUAUAAUCUAGACAAUAACAAACAACAGAAAGGUUAAAAUAGAUGCUAAAAGUUUAUAAAGUUUGUGCACUUUAAUUAGAUGCCAUUCUCUCCUAUAUUAUAACUAAUCCAAAGAGCUUGAUGAACGAAAAUGCCAAUCCCUGUGCCUCCCCACCGCUGCCCCUGCUAAGAACUGCCUUGGCUCAGCCUGAAGGAUGACAAAGCUUAAGGAGGCAGAGAUGUCCUAUGUAGGACUCGGCUCUUCUGGCUGCAGCUGAUGAGGCCCGAUCAGGGCCACCAAUCCUGUGAGAGGUCAGAACCGUAGGAAAAGCCCCUGCAAUCAGAUUCCUUAUCUCAUGAAUUCAAUCCAGGUCUCUAUCUGGUCUCUGCAGCUAAGCCAAAGCCAAAAGGUAAUGAUGGAAACUGAGGCCAGCAUGGCCAUGUGUGGGCCAGAGUCACAGAGGAGCAAAAACUGAGUGAGCAAAGAAGCCAGCAGUAGAGAAAGGAGAAAAGAACAGAUGCAAAGGCACCUUGAGGAGCAAAGAACGUCUCCAAGUAGAGAGUGCCAGGCUACUCUCUACUCUGACAUUCAGUUACUUCCCACCUGGGUUAACUGAAAUGGACUUUUUUUCCUCUUGAUUUAACAGCCUUACUUGUGAAUGUUUGAACGUCUGAUAUAAAUUACAGCAGGAAAGAAGGCUGUAAAGCCAGGUAAACUGAAGAUAGAAAUGACAGCAAAGGGGUUUCCUUCCCUCUUUGGGGCAGUGGAGGGGGGGUUCCUUCUGUGGUACAGCAGUGGGUUAAGAAUCUGUAGUGGCUUAGGACGCUGUGCAGGUAUGGGUUUGAUCCUCAGCCUGGCAGAGUGGGCUAAAGGAUCCAGUGUUGCCAGAACUGUGGCAUAAGUUGCAGCUGCAGCCCAGGAACUUCUGUAUGCUGUGGGGGUGGCCUUUAAAAAAAUAAUAUAAAAUAAAUAAAUGUCAGGAAGGGGAUAAGACACAUUUAUGAAAGAACACAUAAAAUACAGAAGUCUGGGCAUACAGUGAGGUUCCCUUAUAACCUCUGGUAGUAAAUAAUAGAGUUCAUCAGAAGAGAAUCCUGUGUCCCUUCUUACGGCUUAGCCCACCCUCCUAUCACUGUGGGUGGAGCCCCUGGUCCCUUCUCUACCACUGACAACACCUCCACUUGCCAGACCCACUCUCUCUUGCCACUGAAAGACAGCAUGUCAAUAAUUUUCCCUCUCUCUCUUGCACUGUCAGAUUUUUCCUCUCAGGUGAAUCAUUCCUAUCAGCACAUUAAAGUGCUAUAAGCUCUCCACCAUGGCCUCAUACUCCCAUCCUGUGAACAUGCCACUUCUCCGCUCCUUUCAGAACAAAAUGACUGCUCUGUACUCAAUGUCACCAGUUCUACUCCUCUUCUCCCUUGAACCACUCCCUCAAAUCAAGCUUUUGCCCUCACCUGAAGAUCAAUAGCUACAUCCAUGUUGCAAAAUCUAGCGGUCAAUUCUCAGUCUUGCGUAAUGCAGUACAAAGGACACUGCAUCAUUAUGACACUUUUAUUUCAUAAGGACCUGAAAUAAAAGUGUAAUCUGCGUUUAGUUAAGCUUUUAAAUAUAUGAAUGUAACUUUCAGUUUUCAAUGUUAUAUGUAUAUAACUUUCUAACUUAUCUGUAAAUACACAGAAAUUAUUAGAAUGAGUGCUCCAACACCAUAAAAGGAUGAGGUAUAUCCAGGAGGUGGGGCUACCCCAUCACUUCACACAGUGCUUUUCUUUCUUUUUUUUGGCUACACCUGCAGCACAUGGAAGUUCCUGGGCCUCUACAACAGCUGUGGCAAUGCUAAUUUUUUAACCCACUGGGCCAGGCCAGGGAUCAAACCUGUGCUGCCACAGAGACAAUGCCAGAUCUUUAACCAGCUGCACACAGCAGGAACUCCACAUAGAAUGCUUUUCAAUCUAUGCUGUCCAAUUCAGCAGCCAAAAUAUGGUGUGACUGAGGACAUGAAAUUUUAAUAUAUUUUUAAUUUAUUUGUAUGUACAGUGGACUGGUCUGGUUUCUUAAAUGAGCCAAUAUUAUAAAGAAAAAAUAAAGACUAGGUAGUCCUCAAGAAUAAAGGAUUUUAAGUGACAUCACGACCAAAUGUAAAUACAAAAUACUUCUAUAUACUAGCAACAAACAGGUGAAGAAAAAAUUAAAACAAAUUGUUUACCAUUAUGUCGAUAAACAUAAAAUGAUUUUAGACACACUGAUCUCCAUAGUUAAAUUGGGCACAGUUCAUAAUGUACAGACUAUCCCUCAAUAAAGCUGAUUAAAAAACAUUUAGGGAUAAGUUUAACAAAAGGCAAGUAAGGUUUCCAUAUUGAAAAUGACAAAACACUGCUGAGAAAAAUGAAAGACAUAAAUUAAGAGAUGAAAUGUUCAUGGAUGGAACUCAGUAUUGUUAAGAUGUUAAUUCUCAAAAUUAUCAAGAGUCAACACAAUUGUAAUGAAAAUACUGUAGACUUUUUAUUAGAAAUUGACAAGUUAAAAUUUAUUUGGAAAUGCAAAGAACCUAGAGAAGUCAAAGCAGACUUGAAAAUUUGCCUUCAAAAUUUACUUUACAGCUAUAGUAAAUAAAACUAUGUGGUUUUGACAUAUAAACAAGAAAUACAUUUAGAGAAAAGAGCCAAGACUAUAUGGCUGAUUUUCAAUAAAGGGUGCCAAGGUAUUUCCAUUGGAGAAAGGACAGUAUUUUCAAUACAUGGCACUAAAACAAGAACCUAUCAUUUAGAAAAACAAAAUCUCAAUGAUUACCUCCAACUGUACUAAAAAAAGGUAAUUUAAGAUGUAUCAUAAACCUAGACAAAAAAGCUGAUAUAAAGUUUAUUCAUAAGAAAAUAUUUAUUUGACCCUAAGUCAGCAAAGGUUUCAGACACAAAAAGCACUAACCAUAGGGAAAAAAUAAAUUGUAAUUUAUCCAAAUUAAAACCUUGUGCUCUUCCAAAAAUAUCACUAAGAAAGUUUUGGAAAGACAAGUAUAGCCUAGAAGACAUUAUUCAUGAUAAUUUGUCAUAGUGACUUUACCUGACAGAAGACCUGCAUCUGGAAUGAAUUAUCUAUAUCCCUUGCAACUCAACCAUAAAACAUUAAACAAUAAAGGUGAAAGAGCUGAACAGAAAGUUCACAAAGAACAAAAACGAUCAAUAAGCAAAUGAAAAUGUGCUUAGGCUGGCUGCCUCUGAUGCAGAAAGGGCAGGGCACUGGGGUAGGAAGCUAGAGAGGUGGAAUCUAGAUGGCGGAGGAGUAAGAUGUGGUGCUCACCUUCUCCUACAAACACAUCGAAAGAAACCCAUCCGCAUAUAGAACGAUUCACAUAGAACAUCUACUGAACGCUGGCAGAAGACCUUAAACCACCAAAAAGGCCAGAAACCCUCCAUGUAACUGGGUAGAACAAAAGGGGAAAAAAAAGAGAGAGAAAAAGGAACACACCUAACUGAUGGGGAGACCAGCCAAGACGGAGGGACAUCAAAAACUCAGAGAAAAGCUCAAUAUCUGGACAGAGAAGGGCAAAGAAGUGAGAGAGCCGCACAGACUAUCCGUACCACCUCCCUGGACACCACAGUCUGAGACACUUGGGUUCUGGAGGUCAGUUCUGGGAAGAGGACCGGGGUUGGCUGUGUGGAGACAGCUUGAGGGAAUAAGGAGUGGUGCGCCAAGGGCUAGGGAGUGGAGUGCCACAGCCAAGAGAACAUGGGAGGAGGUCUGGGCCCACAGGAGCAGCAAGGUGCCACUGCUGGGGAAGACGAGAAGGGGUAGAAUGCCAUAGGAAUAUCUUUCCCUGCAUAUACGUGGAUUCUCGGGGGACGGGGGGGUGAUGGCAGCGAGGUGCCUCUUGUGCAGGCUGUGGGUAGCAGCACCUCCUGUGCAGUCUAAGUGUGAUGGGGCACCUCCUGCAUGGUCUACUAGCAGCAGGGCAAACCACUGCAGUCAUCUCAGACUCCAAAGGUGGGCAUCCUCCCUCGGGUAUGAACUAGGGGUCCUCCCCUGGGUAUAAACACGCCCUGCUACUGCCACUGCCAAAUGCUCUGGUCACAUCCUACCCCUGCCUGAGGGUCACUGCCACUUCCCGGUGCCCUGCAACUGGGAGCAGUCUGUGCCACCUUCCCACAGGUCCUUGCCACUGUCAGGGGCCCAGCAACCAAGGACUGGUUAAUAGCCCUGCCCAUUGCCUCCAUCUCCCUGGAAGAACACCCAGAAUCUGACUAGGGGUUCAAUGGCCUGCACACACUGAAGAAAGAGUCAGUAAGCAUCCAAACCAAAAGUAGCCCUCACAUCAAAAAUAAACAGUAAGCCCUCACAAAAUACCCA
RNAcentral lists this long non-coding RNA (4481 nucleotides) under Sus scrofa (pig). RNAcentral describes it as "lncRNA (ENSSSCG00050004932.1)". The record is from RNAcentral. Lineage: Eukaryota; Metazoa; Chordata; Mammalia; Artiodactyla; Suidae.